RNAcentral lists this long non-coding RNA (1112 nucleotides) under Neodiprion lecontei (redheaded pine sawfly). Its description in RNAcentral is "uncharacterized LOC124294766". The record is from RNAcentral. Lineage: Eukaryota; Metazoa; Arthropoda; Insecta; Hymenoptera; Diprionidae.
UGCCGCCGUUCUACCACUUUGUGUGUGUAGUAAAUUUUUUUUUUUCAAUAUUUAGCUUGAAAAUAAGUAUACGGAACGAUUGGCAAUGAGAGAAAAAUUAUACGCCUUUUUGGCUUUAGAUGUGUUGCUCUCUAAAGCCCAAAAGGGCUUAUAAGUAAGUGUGAGCCCUUCUGGCACUAGCACCGCGAUAUAUCAGUGUACACUUUUUUACAUCCAAAUUUCAAAAGGUGAAAAUGUGAACCAAAAAAAAUUCGGAUCACUCCAUGUAUUGUACAUUGUAUAUCUUGCUCAUCAAAAGUUAAAAAUCAAACAUUUAAACUCAUAGAAAAAUGUUUGCUUUUAUGUGAACCUGAUUUUUUAAAAAUUUUUUUAUUCAACUUUAGGAUUAAAUAUACAACCCACUCACGUUUUGUCGGAGCGACCAAAAAAUUAAAAUGGAAAUACUUUUUUAUACGAAUCGAAAAUAUCUCAUAAUUAUUUAUUCGAAAAUCAUUUUCUUGCAGUGAAUUAGUUGGUGGAGAACGCCUCAUAUUUCUAUUCUACACACAAGAGUUCAUUGGCACAUGUCACCGCAGCGGUGACAACAGGCAUUAAGGAAAAGCAGAAGAAGAAAACGAAGAAGAGGAAAAAGAUGUUCAAUGUCCCAGAGCUGAGUGGGGGAUUGUUUACGGUAUUCAGUCAAUGUCUUUAUUUCAAAAAAAUCAUUCAACGGGUUUGUUUUUACGUCAAGAUGAAGCGUUUAUUAUCAUGUGAACAUCACAAGCUCGAGACAGUCUUUUGGCAAUCCAUAAAUAAUAUUCUAUGUUUCAAUUUUCACGUACAUUUACGACUAGUAAAAAAAUUAUUCGAUUUCUCUCUUCUUCUGUGUAUCUAUUUACCUACCUAUCUCUCGUUUCAUUAUAUCCUUACGUGUAAAAUUUAACAAUUUCACAAAUAUUCAUCAAUAGAAAACAGUAAAUCCGAUUAAUAUGUUAAUUAAUAGAGAUGCGAUGUAAAUCGUACAUGUAAUAUAUCGAGUCAUUUUCUGGAACGGACCUGCUCGCCACCUCGUUUAUAUGUGUAGCCAACUUCACUGCUAACUAACAGCACUGACUUAAUUACAUAAUUAUUUU